GUUCACUUAAAUUAUGUUGACAUAUAUUGAUAGAUAAAUGCUCCAAUAGAACAUGUGAAACAGCCAUAUGCUUGAGUAAAUAACUUCAGAAAAUGCUCGACAAUCACCAGUCAUGUAAUUACACAUGCCUUGUUGGGCUAUUUUCUUUCCCAUACUCCUUCCUACGUCCUUUGUCUUUACGAAAUCUCAUGUUCACUAAAAUCUCGACACCUCGUUUUUUGGCAAUUCGCGCAAGAGAGUCAAACAUGCUUGGCAGUUCGUCGAAUUCCUCAUUGACCACAACAUUCACUUCUUCAUUAACGGUGCUCGAUUCACCACUCGAUUCUUCAUUAUCGACCCACUCAAAGUAGCCACAGUCAUCACUACAACUUUUGAAUAAUCACUCAUUGUUACUGGUGUUCCUUCCGACCUCAAAACAUUUUUGAAUUUCAUGUGAACACCAUGGGCAUCGAAAUUUUCUGGGGCAAUCUCUAAAGUAAUGCAUUGUGCUUCUACAACUGUGACAAACUCCGAAAUUCGCCCCUCUCAACUUGCGAUUAGGCACAAACAAUUUACAGACACCAAUGCAAAAUCACGCAAAUUGCUCGACCACUACAAAUUCAAAUCUCCAGAAGUGCAGGGCAGUAGGCAUUCACAUAAAAAUUUAUACAUACAUUUAUUACUGAAUAGCAGGACAAUCGAACAUAUUAUUUAGAAGGUUAUUGAAAAGUUAAUUUUUCGAUUAGAUAACAAUUUGUUUGUAUUUUGAGUUCAAAAGGUUUGGUGAGUAACUAGAGAUGCAGAGACCAAUCCAUCCUCGCAAAUGGCAGCUGAAAUGGUAAUUUCCACGACAAAAAUUAUGCCAAAGCAAGGAAGAGAUGUGAAAAUGCAUUAUAAUCAGGAUUGGUUCUCCCAAAAUUGUGAG
Molecule: long non-coding RNA, 904 nt
Filed under: Olea europaea subsp. europaea
Lineage: Eukaryota; Viridiplantae; Streptophyta; Magnoliopsida; Lamiales; Oleaceae
Source: RNAcentral